AUCCUUUUGUAGUUUAUAAGUGUGAUGAUUGGGUGUUGGUGCAUGUGUCAUAUGUGCUCCUUAAACCUUGUCACAACACUGGCACGUUACCCUUCUGAUG
This is a small nucleolar RNA of Otolemur garnettii (small-eared galago), 100 nucleotides long. The record is from Ensembl. Lineage: Eukaryota; Metazoa; Chordata; Mammalia; Primates; Galagidae.